Molecule: small RNA, 720 nt
Filed under: Pongo abelii (Sumatran orangutan)
Lineage: Eukaryota; Metazoa; Chordata; Mammalia; Primates; Hominidae
Description: processed transcript
Source: RNAcentral
AUGCACAAGGAAUGCACUGUCCUGGGCUCUGUGGGGUCACAAUACAAAACAAUUGCAUUUUAUGGGAGAAGUGCAUUCCCAAGUGCUGAUGGAAUUCAAGGCUAAACUUGACAAAGGAUGGCAGGUGGCUUGAGGCAAUUGACAAAGCAGCCCAUCUUGUCCGCCAGAGCCAUGUCUGGGAAGAUGUUACUCUGCACAACAGUAGCCUCCCACCUCUGGCUAUCAAGAACCCAGGGUGUCUGGGUCUUCUGCACCAGCUGGAUAUAAACACAGACAUGUGGGUCCUGCACUAUUGCAUCUUGAAAGGACGGUUACUUGUAUUUCCAUGCUAACAAUCACUCUACCCAAGCCUCAGGUGGUCUAUAUCUGCAAGGAUAUAGGGUGAGUGAACAGACCCUUAGUUCCAAACAAUUAGUAAUUGAACUCUAGCCUCCAUCCAAAGAGUUCAAGACUUUCUGUUUCUGUGUGGAAAAUGAAACAGAAAACCAAUGCUGGAUUACAGCUCUGAAAGCAUCUAUCAAAAAAAUGGCUUCCUUUGCAUUAGGCUAUUCAAGACUUCAUGAAUUGACCUCUAGAACAAACCAAAAUGCGAAAGAGACCCUAACUCUUAAAAGGAUCUAAAAAAUCAUCACCAACUUGUAGAAACAAACAAAAUGUAUAUCAUUAUAUAACUUUUCAAAUGAAUGUUCCUCCAAUGUAUUAAAACUGUGUGAUGAGAUU